GGAGAAUUGGCAGAGUGGUCGAAUGCGGCGGUCUUGAAAACCGUUGUACCGCAAGGUACCGGGGGUUCGAAUCCCUCAUUCUCCGCCA
RNAcentral lists this transfer RNA (88 nucleotides) under Lentimicrobium sp. S6. RNAcentral describes it as "tRNA-Ser". It matches the Rfam family "tRNA". Rfam says of the family: Transfer RNA (tRNA) molecules are approximately 80 nucleotides in length. The record is from RNAcentral. Lineage: Bacteria; Pseudomonadati; Bacteroidota; Bacteroidia; Bacteroidales; Lentimicrobiaceae. RNAcentral also lists the same sequence under 1 other name.